This 497-nucleotide ribosomal RNA is filed under the name uncultured bacterium. RNAcentral describes it as "partial 16S ribosomal RNA". It matches the Rfam family "Bacterial small subunit ribosomal RNA", at positions 28 to 507 of the family's 1533-position model. The record is from RNAcentral.
GAUGAACGCUGGCGGCGUGCCUAAUACAUGCAAGUCGAGCGAACGGACGAGAAGCUUGCUUCUCUGAUGUUAGCGGCGGACGGGUGAGUAACACGUGGAUAACCUACCUAUAAGACUGGGAUAACUUCGGGAAACCGUAGCUAAUACCGGAUAAUAUUUUGAACCGCAUGGUUCAAAAGUGAAAGACGGUCUUGCUGUCACUUAUAGAUGGAUCCGGGCUGCAUUAGCUAGUUGGUAAGGUAACGGCUUACCAAGGCAACGAUGCAUAGCCGACCUGAGAGGGGGAUCGGCCACACUGGAACUGAGACACGGUCCAGACUCCUACGGGAGGCAGCAGUAGGGAAUCUUCCGCAAUGGGCGAAAGCCUGACGGAGCAACGCCGCGUGAGUGAUGAAGGUCUUCGGAUCGUAAAACUCUGUUAUUAGGGAAGAACAUAUGUGUAAGUAACUGUGCACAUCUUGACGGUACCUAAUCAGAAAGCCACGGCUAACUACGUG